Molecule: ribosomal RNA, 430 nt
Filed under: uncultured bacterium
Lineage: Bacteria
Description: partial 16S ribosomal RNA
Rfam family: Bacterial small subunit ribosomal RNA
Source: RNAcentral
GAACGCUGGCGGCAUGCCUAACACAUGCAAGUCGAACGAGACCUUCGGGUCUAGUGGCGCACGGGUGCGUAACGCGUGGGAACCUGCCCUUAGGUUCGGAAUAACUCCCCUAAAGGGGUGCUAAUACCGGAUAAUGUCUUCGGACCAAAGAUUUAUCGCCUUUGGAUGGGCCCGCGUUGGAUUAGCUAGUUGGUAGGGUAAAAGCCUACCAAGGCGACGAUCCAUAGCUGGUCUGUGAGGAUGAUCAGCCACACUGGGACUGAGACACGGCCCAGACUCCUACGGGAGGCAGCAGUGGGUAAUAUUGGACAAUGGGGGAAGGCAUGAAGCAGCAAGGCCGGGUGAGCGAUGAAGGCAUUAGGGUUGUAAAGCUCAUUUACCCGGGAUGAUAAUGACAGUACCGGGAGAAUAAGCCCCGGCUAACUCCGUG